This 310-nucleotide ribosomal RNA is filed under the name uncultured soil bacterium. RNAcentral's name for it is "bacterial SSU rRNA". It matches the Rfam family "Bacterial small subunit ribosomal RNA", at positions 26 to 337 of the family's 1533-position model. The record is from RNAcentral.
AGAUUGAACGCUGGCGGCAUGCCUUACACAUGCAAGUCGAACGGCAGCACGGGAGCAAUCCUGGUGGCGAGUGGCGAACGGGUGAGUAAUACAUCGGAACGCGCCCAAUCGUGGGGGAUAACGCAGCGAAAGCUGUGCUAAUACCGCAUAAGAUCUACGGAUGAAAGCAGGGGAUCGCAAGACCUUGCGCGAAUGGAGCGGCCGAUGGCAGAUUAGGUAGUUGGUGAGGUAAAGGCUCACCAAGCCUUCGAUCUGUAGCUGGUCUGAGAGGACGACCAGCCACACGUGGGACUGAGACACGGCCCAGACU